This 741-nucleotide ribosomal RNA is filed under the name uncultured bacterium. RNAcentral describes it as "bacterial SSU rRNA". It matches the Rfam family "Bacterial small subunit ribosomal RNA", at positions 8 to 796 of the family's 1533-position model. The record is from RNAcentral.
AGAGUUUGAUCCUGGCUCAGAAUCCGCUGGCGGCGUGCCUAACACAUGCAAGUCGAACGAGAAAGUGGAGCAAUCCAUGAGUAAAGGGCGCACGGGUGAGUAACACGUGAAUAAUCUACCUCCGAGUGGGGAAUAACCUAGGGAAACCUGGGCUAAUACCGCAUAACACUUACGAGUCAAAGAGCAAUGCGCUUGGAGAGGAGNNCGCGGCAGAUUAGCUAGUUGGGAGGUAAUGGCUCACCAAGGCGAUGAUCUGUAUCCGGCCUGAGAGGGCGCACGGACACACUGGAACUGAAACACGGUCCAGACUCCUACGGGAGGCAGCAGUGGGGAAUUUUGCGCAAUGGGGGAAACCCUGACGCAGCAACGCCGCGUGGAGGAUGAAUCCCUUGGGAUGUAAACUCCUUUCGAUCGGGACGAUUAUGACGGUACCGGAAGAAGAAGCCCCGGCUAACUUCGUGCCAGCAGCCGCGGUAAUCGAGGGGGGCGAGCUUUUGGAAUUAUUGGGCGUAAAGGGUGCGUAGGCGGUUUGAAAGUCUGAUGUGAAAUCUAGGGCUCAACCCAUAGUCUGCAUUGAAACUGUGGCUUGAGUAUGGGAGAGGUGAGUGGAAUUUCCGGUGUAGCGGUGAAAUGCGUAGAUAUCGGAAGGAACACCUGUGGCGAAAGCGGCUCACUGGACCAUUACUGACGCUGAUGCACGAAAGCUAGGGGAGCAAACAGGAUUAGAUACCCUAGUAGUCC